This 301-nucleotide ribosomal RNA is filed under the name uncultured bacterium. RNAcentral's name for it is "partial 16S ribosomal RNA". It matches the Rfam family "Bacterial small subunit ribosomal RNA", at positions 509 to 809 of the family's 1533-position model. The record is from RNAcentral.
CAGUAGCCACGGGAAUACGUAGGGUGCAAGCGUUAAUCGGAAUUACUGGGCGUAAAGCGUGCGCAGGCGGUUUGUUAAGACUGAUGUGAAAUCCCCGGGCUCAACCUGGGAACUGCAUUUGUGACUGGCAAGCUAGAGUGUGGCAGAGGGGGGUGGAAUUCCGCGUGUAGCAGUGAAAUGCGUAGAUAUGCGGAGGAACACCGAUGGCGAAGGCAGCCCCCUGGGCCAACACUGACGCUCAUGCACGAAAGCGUGGGGAGCAAACAGGAUUAGAUACCCCGGUAGUCCCUGUCUCUCAUAC